UAUGUGUGGUGAUCACUGUGUUUUGCCUGUGUGGAGUUUUCCCCGCUCUCCCCCACAGAGUGUUGAGCGGUUCUCUUACCCACACUGGCUCUCUCCUGCUCCGGCUCCUCCUGCACCUUCACACCUGUUCCCCAUCACACUCAUCAGGACACUGCACUUCAGCUCUGUGGAGAGAGGAGUCGGGUGCCAGAGUAUUCCUUCUUCUACAGUGUGCCUCCUCGAGCCUCCUGCACCUCCGCCCCCAUCUCUGCCACGCUGCCACGCUCUCACUCCGGACACUCACCUGCCUUCACCCCGAGCCUCACGCUUCACUCCUGCAUCUCUUGGAUCUCACACUAACCUCUGAUUCUGGAUCAGUCAUCCUCCACCUCACCUUUAAAGAAUAAAAUCACUUCCACUGCU
Molecule: long non-coding RNA, 402 nt
Organism: Notolabrus celidotus (New Zealand spotty)
Lineage: Eukaryota; Metazoa; Chordata; Actinopteri; Labriformes; Labridae
Exons: 2
Source: RefSeq, a predicted model, not a curated record